Molecule: unclassified non-coding RNA, 406 nt
Filed under: fungal sp.
Lineage: Eukaryota; Fungi
Description: partial internal transcribed spacer region
Rfam family: Eukaryotic small subunit ribosomal RNA (bases 1-46)
Source: RNAcentral
AAGUCGUAACAAGGUUUCCGUAGGUGAACCUGCGGAAGGAUCAUUAACACGUAUCCAACGUUAAACCCCCCGUGCACACAGCGACCUGCUCCCCUCAAUUUCGGUCUUUUGGCAAUCCCUGGUAAAUCAUCGCCGAACAGUUUUGAUUCAGGGACAUCCAAAGGGCCGGGGUAGGGUAUUAAAGUAGUAGUCAAUGCAAAGCAACCUGGUUUCUUUGAAGCAGAAAGUGUGAUGGCGUGAGCCGGAGAACGGACCGAGUGGUAGUUCAAAGGUGUCUUCUGUCGCGCACUGUGGUUCCUGGUCCUAGACCCCAUAUUCACCACCACAGUCGCAGACGAGGUAGGGAUACGUCCCUACCACCAAAUAAAUACUUGAACAACUGUUAACAAUGGAUAUCUUGGUUCUC